RNAcentral lists this ribosomal RNA (784 nucleotides) under Controrchis biliophilus. RNAcentral describes it as "LSU rRNA". It matches the Rfam family "Eukaryotic large subunit ribosomal RNA", at positions 423 to 866 of the family's 3401-position model. Lineage: Eukaryota; Metazoa; Platyhelminthes; Trematoda; Plagiorchiida; Dicrocoeliidae. The record is from RNAcentral.
GAGGUUGGUUUGGGCUUGGUCAUAUUGGUUGGGCCCCGAAGUACGUUAAACCACGUGUCCUUUCCCUUUGGGUUGGGAUGUGCGAUACACUUACCAAGUGUUGCACGCUUUGGGUGUUCAUCGUGCCUCCUUGCCAGUGCACUUUCUCAUAGUGGUCACCACGACCGAUGCCGCUGUCAGGCUGUCAUAGUUAAACCGGUCUUGUAGUGUCCUUGUGGCAUUGCCUGGUCGGGAUGGCAGGUAGCUUGUUGGCUUGCUUCGGCUUGCUUUCGAGUGUAAUCAGCUGACUGUGACGGUUCUGUGCAGUGCGUCGGAGACGGCGGCCAGUGGUGUGUGCAUGCGUGCCCGAUUUGCUGGCGUACCCUGGUUUGGUUUCUUUGUUGCCUGUGACAGCAGGUCUGGUUAUGGCUGGGGUUCGUUCGGCGGAUAGUUGCGUGUGUGACACUUCCAAGGGCCAAUAGUCUGUGGUGUAGUGGUAGACUAUCCACCUGACCCGUCUUGAAACACGGACCAAGGAGAGUAACAUGUGCGCGAGUCAUUGGGCGUAACGAAACCCACAGGCGCAGUGAAAGUGAAGGUUUGGCUUGUCCAGAUUGAGGUGAGAUCCUGUCGUGUCCCACGCGUGGUGUCACCAAGCACGGAGCGGCAGGCGCAUCACCAGCCCGUCGCAUGACGUUGUCUCAUCCUCGGAUUGUGCAUCGUCGUGGCGGAGCAUGAGCGUACAUGUUGAGACCCGAAAGAUGGUGAACUAUGCUUGCGCAGGUUGAAGCCAGAGGAAACUCUG